GACGAACGCUGGCGGCGCGCCUAACACAUGCAAGUCGAACGAGCGAGAGAGAGCUUGCUUUCUUGAGCGAGUGGCGAACGGGUGAGUAACGCGUGAGGAACCUGCCUCAAAGAGGGGGACAACAGUUGGAAACGACUGCUAAUACCGCAUAAGCCCACGGUGCCGCAUGGCACCGAGGGAAAAGGAGCAAUCCGCUUUGAGAUGGCCUCGCGUCCGAUUAGCUAGUUGGUGAGGUAACGGCCCACCAAGGCGACGAUCGGUAGCCGGACUGAGAGGUUGAACGGCCACAUUGGGACUGAGACACGGCCCAGACUCCUACGGGAGGCAGCAGUGGGGAAUAUUGCACAAUGGGGGAAACCCUGAUGCAGCGACGCCGCGUGGAGGAAGAAGGUCUUCGGAUUGUAAACUCCUGUUGUUGGGGAAGAUAAUGACGGUACCCAACAAGGAAGAGACGGCUAACUACGUG
This 466-nucleotide ribosomal RNA is filed under the name uncultured bacterium. RNAcentral's name for it is "partial 16S ribosomal RNA". It matches the Rfam family "Bacterial small subunit ribosomal RNA", at positions 28 to 507 of the family's 1533-position model. The record is from RNAcentral.